UCUUGUGGUGGAUGUGAUCGGUGCAUGAUGGACUGGAUGGGAAGUGUCCAAGUCAUAUACACCUGUUGGAAGGGCGCUGUACUCACCGAAGUGAGAGAUGAGCUCAAAUGCUGUGUGGUGGGUGAGGGCGGAGGAUGGAUUAAAAAGAUCUUGAGAAAGUGGAACUGGAAGGAUUUGUAAAUUGCCCCUAUCUGGAAGGAAAUGGAGAAGGAGAACUUCAUGAUAAGAUCCAGGUUUCCAACUUGAGCCACAGAAUAUAUUUUCACCGGUGGGGAUAGAGGUGGACAAAGGUGGACAGGAGUCCAGCCCUGGAAAGGGACCCAGGGAAGGGAGAGACAGGCUGUCAGGACAGCCAUGUGUGGAAUUGGGACAGCGGUGGCAGAGAGGGGCUCACCUUCUGACAGCUCCAUCCCUUCACAAUCGGACCUUAUGGCAGAUAUUAUUAAUCAAUGUGCCACUCUUUCCCACUGAGCUUGAACCCAACUGUCAGGACACUUUAUAAUAUAAUGGCUCCUGGAAGUUAUUAUCAAUUAAUUAACUUUAGUUCGCAAGCUGAAAGCUGUUUGCUUCUUCUUGCAGGUCUGGAAGUUUAGGAGCCCAACUUAUGGGUAAGGAAGCCGUGGCCCUCCCUCAGUGUCUGCUUAGCAAACUCACUGCCACCUAGGCCGGUUUCCUCACUCCUACCUCGAGACUCCAUCUUUUCUCUGCACCUCCGAGGGCUCCAGGCCACAGGUCUCGGCACCCCCGAUGUAAAGAUUUGUGAUCGGUAUGUUGUCUCCUCUGGAGUCGGCAACAGAGAGUCAAUGGAACAGCUGACGAAGCAGGAUGCGCUGAAAAUAAGAUUUAACCCCGUGACUGCUCACCAAAGUGAGAAAGAUUAUAUGCUAGAAUGGUACAUGGAGCGGGUUCCAUGGUCCGCAUAGCUGACUGCCGCAGAGAUGCCUCCAGAGCGAGCUGUGUGCCUUCA
Felis catus (domestic cat) is the source of this 967-nucleotide long non-coding RNA. RefSeq lists it as uncharacterized. The transcript is spliced from 3 exons. The record is from RefSeq and is a predicted model, not a curated record. Lineage: Eukaryota; Metazoa; Chordata; Mammalia; Carnivora; Felidae.